RNAcentral lists this transfer RNA (63 nucleotides) under Manticora tibialis. RNAcentral's name for it is "tRNA-Cys". It matches the Rfam family "tRNA". Rfam says of the family: Transfer RNA (tRNA) molecules are approximately 80 nucleotides in length. Their secondary structure includes four short double-helical elements and three loops (D, anti-codon, and T loops). The record is from RNAcentral. Lineage: Eukaryota; Metazoa; Arthropoda; Insecta; Coleoptera; Carabidae.
GGUUUUAUAGUUUAAUAAAAAUAUUAAAUUGCAAAUUUAAUGAUAAAAAUUUUUUUAAAACCU